CGGCCUACCAUGCAGUCGAGCGGAUGACGGGAGCUUGCUCCUUGAUUCAGCGGCGGACGGGUGAGUAAUGCCUAGGAAUCUGCCUGGUAGUGGGGGACAACGUUUCGAAAGGAACGCUAAUACCGCAUACGUCCUACGGGAGAAAGCAGGGGACCUUCGGGCCUUGCGCUAUCAGAUGAGCCUAGGUCGGAUUAGCUAGUUGGUGGGGUAAUGGCUCACCAAGGCGACGAUCCGUAGCUGGUCUGAGAGGAUGAUCAGUCACACUGGAACUGAGACACGGUCCAGACUCCUACGGGAGGCAGCAGUGGGGAAUAUUGGACAAUGGGCGAAAGCCUGAUCCAGCCAUGCCGCGUGUGUGAAGAAGGUCUUCGGAUUGUAAAGCACUUUAAGUUGGGAGGAAGGGCAGUAAGUUAAUACCCUUGCUGUUUUGACGUUACCGACAGAAUAAGCACCGGCUAACUCUGUGCA
Molecule: ribosomal RNA, 468 nt
Filed under: uncultured bacterium
Lineage: Bacteria
Description: bacterial SSU rRNA
Rfam family: Bacterial small subunit ribosomal RNA
Source: RNAcentral